RNAcentral lists this ribosomal RNA (253 nucleotides) under uncultured bacterium. Its description in RNAcentral is "partial 16S ribosomal RNA". It matches the Rfam family "Bacterial small subunit ribosomal RNA", at positions 524 to 776 of the family's 1533-position model. The record is from RNAcentral.
UACGGAGGAUGCAAGCGUUAUCCGGAAUGAUUGGGCGUAAAGCGUCCGCAGGUGGCUAUGUAAGUCUGCUGUUAAAGAGUGAGGCUCAACCUCAUAAAAGCAGUGGAAACUACAUGGCUAGAGUGCGUUCGGGGCAGAGGGAAUUCCUGGUGUAGCGGUGAAAUGCGCAGAUAUCAGGAAGAACACCCGUGGCGAAGGCGGCUCUCUGGAACGCAACUGACGCUGAGACGCGAAAGCGUGGGGAGCAAACAGG